Molecule: long non-coding RNA, 333 nt
Filed under: Zonotrichia albicollis (white-throated sparrow)
Lineage: Eukaryota; Metazoa; Chordata; Aves; Passeriformes; Passerellidae
Description: lncRNA (ENSZALG00000016723.1)
Source: RNAcentral
CUUUGCCCUUUUUAUCUCCUGAGGUCUCUGAGUUCCAGUUUGUCCCGUGUUUGCUUUCACGCAGCUGUUUUGAGGCGUGAGUUAAUAUGAUGCUAUCUAAAGCAAAAUUCCCUAGCCAAGAGAGAAGGUCACUGAUCCUCCAUCAGUCAGCGCACAACAGAUUCUCAUUCUUUAGAGUGGAUUUUGAGAUUUGCAAAUAGAAAUUAAAUCCCUCAAAUUGUCAUAGGAAAAGAAUGGUGAGUGUUGCCACUUGUGGCAUUUUUUUGCUAUUUUGGUUCUUUUUUUUUUUUUUUUUUAUAAAAAUAAUAAAUUGCAUUGCUCUCAUCUUGGACA